Molecule: long non-coding RNA, 1518 nt
Organism: Priapulus caudatus
Lineage: Eukaryota; Metazoa; Priapulida; Priapulimorpha; Priapulimorphida; Priapulidae
Exons: 5
Source: RefSeq, a predicted model, not a curated record
UAUUGCACCAGUAUGACUACCUACAAGUUGUCAUCCUUCAACGCCCGUUGCUGUGGCGAGACGGCCCGGGUUCUGUUCGCAUCGGCUGGAAUCCAGUUUGACGAUGUCCGGAUCGACAUGGCAGACUGGCCCAACCAUUAUAACCCAAUGACGGCGCAGGGAGAACUACCCGUACUCACAGUAGACGGCAAAUUGCUUCGUCAUAGUUCCGCCAUCAACCAAUAGCUAGCCACAGAAUUCGGCUUCAUGGGAGACAGCGUGUGGGAAGCUGGGCUCAUCAACGAGACAGUGGAAGUCGGCAGCGACCUCUUCCGGCCGUCGGUCGAAGCAACAUUCACACAGAGCGAAACCAGAAAGGCUGAGCUCACCAAGUCUAUAGCUGAGGUAAUCUUGCCUAAGACACUGCAGAUUCUGGAAGCGCGCCUGAAGGCAAACGGAAGCAACGGCUUCCUUGUGGGAGGCAAGCUGUCCCGGCCGACUCUCACAUUCACACUGCUGAGAAGCACGCUGUGUGGGAAUUAGCACAACGGUCCACCGUACGAUGAUGGGCAGUCAUCAAGGUCGCCGGCAUGAAAGAUUAGAGAGCAUGUGCAUGAAAUCGGAGCGUUUGCCUGGCAUCGGGAUACAUCGAUAAGCGUGCCAAAGACUCGCUUCUAACUAAGGCGUCCAACAGUAUUCCCGUUAUUCUACUGCCGGAGAAAUGGGAAAAAAAACCUGGAUUAGACUUUGUUUGUGUUCUUAGCGCGUUCUGCUUCUGCGAAGAUUUGCGUUAAUGUUCUUCACGUGUAAAAAAAAACUGUAAGAAAAAAACGCCAACAGUACGCGAAUGUUCUAGUCCGAACCGUCCGCGAGUUUCAGUGAUUUAGUGUAGGAUGAAGUACAGAAGUAAGACAAGCAACAGUAAUUAAUUCGGUGCGGUUUAUAAUUAAUUAGGGCAGCCCCCCCCCAUGGAGGGAGCAUACCGUAAAUUCAGCGAGAGACUGCCAUAUUAGCAUAACCUUAAUAACAUAUACUAAUAUGUAUUACUAAUUACUUAUAAUAAUACAUUAACUUGUAAUUUUGCCCUUUUAGAGUUUAUUAAGCGCAUUAUGACCGUGACUAGUCUGUUAUGUCUCUAUGGAGCAAACAGCCGACUGAAGUUGACGGUGAAUUGCCCGAGCUUGGAAUGAUGACUUAGCAUAUUUCAGCAAGUUUUUUAAAGCCUAUGCGAACCCCCAAAAAAUACGUAUGCUAAACCUAAUGACGUGUAGCUAUGUUUGAGUUUCAACUACACGCAUUAGUAAAUAAUUUUAACGUGACGCGUUCAUUAAGAGUCUGGCCAGUUGAGACAGUUUUAGCAGUUUAUUAAUAAUUCUGCAUAAAUUAAUGGUUUAGAGUUUACACGUUUCGGACAUGCAGCAGUUUUACGCUGGGUUUGUAUAUCGGCUUCAUUCAUUCACCCGAAGACGACUCGAUCAGUUACCGAGAGUGAAUAAUGACAUGGCUUUAUCAUCAUAAAAUAAAUGUUCUGUCACAGAA